AUUGAACGCUGGCGGCAUGCUUUACACAUGCAAGUCGGACGGCAGCGGGGUAGUGCUUGCAUUACUGCCGGCGAGUGGCGAACGGGUGAGUAUAAUAUUGGAACGUACCGAGUAAUGGGGGAUAACUAUCCGAAAGGAUGGCUAAUACCGCAUACGUCCUGAGGGAGAAAGCGGGGGACAGGCAACUGCCUCGCGUUAUUUGAGCGGCCAAUAUCGGAUUAGCUAGUUGGUGGGGUAAAGGCUUACCAAGGCGACGAUCCGUAGCGGGUCUGAGAGGAUGAUCCGCCACACUGGGACUGAGACACGGCCCAGACUCCUACGGGAGGCAGCAGUGGGGAAUUUUGGACAAUGGGGGGAACCCUGAUCCAGCCAUGCCGCGUGUAUGAAGAAGGCCUUAGGGUUGUAAAGUACUUUUGUUAGGGAAGAAAAGGCGUUUGCUAAUAUCAGAUGCUGAUGACGG
RNAcentral lists this ribosomal RNA (460 nucleotides) under Simonsiella muelleri (Scheibenbakterien Muller 1911). RNAcentral describes it as "bacterial SSU rRNA". It matches the Rfam family "Bacterial small subunit ribosomal RNA", at positions 30 to 475 of the family's 1533-position model. Lineage: Bacteria; Pseudomonadati; Pseudomonadota; Betaproteobacteria; Neisseriales; Neisseriaceae. The record is from RNAcentral.